This 465-nucleotide ribosomal RNA is filed under the name uncultured bacterium. RNAcentral describes it as "partial 16S ribosomal RNA". It matches the Rfam family "Bacterial small subunit ribosomal RNA", at positions 338 to 795 of the family's 1533-position model. The record is from RNAcentral.
CCUACGGGAGGCAGCAGUGGGGAAUAUUGCGCAAUGGGCGAAAGCCUGACGCAGCGACGCCGCGUGAGGGAUGAAGGUCUUCGGAUCGUAAACCUCUGUCAGCAGGGAAGAACGGUCACUGUGCUAAUCAGCAGUGAAUUGACGGUACCUGCAAAGGAAGCACCGGCUAACUCCGUGCCAGCAGCCGCGGUAAUACGGAGGGUGCAAGCGUUAAUCGGAAUUACUGGGCGUAAAGCGCUCGUAGGCGGUCUGUCAAGUCAAGGGUGAAAUCCCCGGGCUCAACGUGGGAACUGCCUUUGAAACUGGCAGACUGGAGUGUGGGAGAGGAUAGUGGAAUUCCAGGUGUAGGGGUGAAAUCCGUAGAUAUCUGGAGGAACAACAGUGGCGAAGGCGACUAUCUGGCACAUAACUGACGCUGAGGAGCGAAAGCGUGGGUAGCAAACAGGAUUAGAUACCCGUGUAGUC